GACGAACGCUGGCGGCGUGCUUAACACAUGCAAGUCGAACGGUGAAGCUCCAGCUUGCUGGAGUGGAUCAGUGGCGAACGGGUGAGUAACACGUGAGCAACCUGCUCCUGACUCUGGAAUAAGCGCUGGAAACGGCGUCUAAUACUGGAUACGAGAAGGGUCCGCAUGGGCACUUUCUGGAAAGUUUUUCGGUUGGGGAUGGGCUCGCGGCCUAUCAGCUUGUUGGUGAGGUAAUGGCUCACCAAGGCGACGACGGGUAGCCGGCCUGAGAGGGCGACCGGCCACACUGGGACUGAGACACGGCCCAGACUCCUACGGGAGGCAGCAGUGGGGAAUAUUGCACAAUGGGCGAAAGCCUGAUGCAGCGACGCCGCGUGAGGGAUGACGGCCUUCGGGUUGUAAACCUCUUUCAGCAGGGAAGAAGCGAAAGUGACGGUACCUGCAGAAGAAGCACCGGCUAACUACGUG
Molecule: ribosomal RNA, 468 nt
Filed under: uncultured bacterium
Lineage: Bacteria
Description: partial 16S ribosomal RNA
Rfam family: Bacterial small subunit ribosomal RNA
Source: RNAcentral